This 484-nucleotide ribosomal RNA is filed under the name uncultured bacterium. RNAcentral describes it as "partial 16S ribosomal RNA". It matches the Rfam family "Bacterial small subunit ribosomal RNA", at positions 30 to 507 of the family's 1533-position model. The record is from RNAcentral.
AUUGAACGCUGGCGGCAGGCCUAACACAUGCAAGUCGAGCGGAUGAAGGGAGCUUGCUCCUGGAUUCAGCGGCGGACGGGUGAGUAAUGCCCAGGAAUCUGCCUGGUAGUGGGGGAUAACGUCCGGAAACGGGCGCUAAUACCGCAUACGUCCUGAGGGAGAAAGUGGGGGAUCUUCGGACCUCACGCUAUCAGAUGAGCCUAGGUCGGAUUAGCUAGUUGGUGGGGUAAAGGCCUACCAAGGCGACGAUCCGUAACUGGUCUGAGAGGAUGAUCAGUCACACUGGAACUGAGACACGGUCCAGACUCCUACGGGAGGCAGCAGUGGGGAAUAUUGGACAAUGGGCGAAAGCCUGAUCCAGCCAUGCCGCGUGUGUGAAGAAGGUCUUCGGAUUGUAAAGCACUUUAAGUUGGGAGGAAGGGCAGUAAGUUAAUACCUUGCUGUUUUGACGGUACCAACAGAAUAAGCACCGGCUAACUUCGUG